Molecule: unclassified non-coding RNA, 343 nt
Filed under: soil metagenome
Description: partial contains 5.8S ribosomal RNA, internal transcribed spacer 2, and large subunit ribosomal RNA
Rfam family: 5.8S ribosomal RNA (bases 1-120)
Source: RNAcentral
GAUGAAGAACGCAGCGAAAUGCGAUAAGUAAUGUGAAUUGCAGAAUUCAGUGAAUCAUCGAAUCUUUGAACGCACAUUGCGCCCGCCAGUAUUCUGGCGGGCAUGCCUGUUCGAGCGUCAUUUCAACCCUCAGGCCCCGCCUGGCGUUGGGGAUCGGCGCGGCCCUCUCCGGGCUGCCGGCCCCGAAAACUAGUGGCGGUCUCGCUGUAGUCCUCCUCUGCGCAGUAGCAACGCUCGCACUGGAACUCGGAGCGGCCACGCCGUAAAACACCCCACUUCUGAAAGUUGACCUCGGAUCAGGUAGGAAUACCCGCUGAACUUAAGCAUAUCAAUAAGCGGAGGA